GAUGAACGCUGGCGGCGUGCCUAAUACAUGCAAGUCGAGCGAACGGACGAGAAGCUUGCUUCUCUGAUGUUAGCGGCGGACGGGUGAGUAACACGUGGAUAACCUACCUAUAAGACUGGGAUAACUUCGGGAAACCGGAUCUAAUACCGGAUAAUAUUUUGAACCGCAUGGUUCAAAAGUGAAAGGCGGUCUUGCUGUCUCGUAUAGAUGGAUCCGAGCUGCAUUAGCUAGUUGGUAAGGUAACGGCUUACCAAGGCAACGAUGCAUAGCCGACCUGAGAGGGUGAUCGGCCACACUGGAACUGAGACGCGGUCCAGACUCCUACGGGAGGCAGCAGUAGGGAAUCUUCCGCAAUGGGCGAAAGCCUGACGGAGCAACGCCGCGUGAGUUAUGAAGGUCUUCGGAUCGUAAAACUCUGUUAUUAGGGAAGAACAUAUGUGUAAGUAACUGUGCACAUCUUGACGGUACCUAAUCAGAAAGCCACGGCUAACUACGUG
This 497-nucleotide ribosomal RNA is filed under the name uncultured bacterium. Its description in RNAcentral is "partial 16S ribosomal RNA". It matches the Rfam family "Bacterial small subunit ribosomal RNA", at positions 28 to 507 of the family's 1533-position model. The record is from RNAcentral.